UACGAAGGUGGCAAGCGUUGUUCGGAUUUACUGGGCGUACAGGGCGCGUAGGCGGUUGGAUAAGCCCUCCGUGAAAUCUCCAGGCUUAACCUGGAAAGUGCAGAGGGGACUGUUCAGCUAGAGGAUGGGAGAGGAGCGCGGAAUUCCCGGUGUAGCGGUGAAAUGCGUAGAUAUCAGGAGGAACACCAGUGGCGAAGGCGGUGCUCUGGGCCGGAACUGACGCUGAGGAGCGAAAGCGUGGGGAGCAAACAGG
RNAcentral lists this ribosomal RNA (253 nucleotides) under uncultured bacterium. RNAcentral describes it as "partial 16S ribosomal RNA". It matches the Rfam family "Bacterial small subunit ribosomal RNA", at positions 524 to 776 of the family's 1533-position model. The record is from RNAcentral.